CUGACUGUGACGACGCGGGUGGGGAGAGACUGUGCACCUACACGUGUCACUUCACAAAGGCCUCCAGGGGCUUAUGAUCAGGCAAAGGAGACACCAGGAAAGAGGAGCAGAGUGGCUAGGGCAGUGCACUGCAGAUGCAUGGACGAAAGCUCGCAGCGACACAGGUAUGGGGUGUCUAAUCAGGGAUGAGUGUGAGCAGCAGAAUGAGGAGCAUGCUUUCCCAGAGGAAGAGAGGAAGCCACUGGAGAGAUGAAGGAUGCCAUGGACAGGUA
This 272-nucleotide long non-coding RNA is filed under the name Homo sapiens (human). RNAcentral's name for it is "non-protein coding LINC01508:3". The record is from RNAcentral. Lineage: Eukaryota; Metazoa; Chordata; Mammalia; Primates; Hominidae.